RNAcentral lists this ribosomal RNA (497 nucleotides) under uncultured bacterium. Its description in RNAcentral is "partial 16S ribosomal RNA". It matches the Rfam family "Bacterial small subunit ribosomal RNA", at positions 28 to 507 of the family's 1533-position model. The record is from RNAcentral.
GAUGAACGCUGGCGGCGUGCCUAAUACAUGCAAGUCGAGCGAACAGAUAAGGAGCUUGCUCCUUUGACGUUAGCAGCGGACGGGUGAGUAACACGUGGGUAACCUACCUAUAAGACUGGAAUAACUCCGGGAAACCGGGGCUAAUGCCGGAUAACAUUUAGAACCGCAUGGUUCUAAAGUGAAAGAUGGUUUUGCUAUCACUUAUAGAUGGACCCGCGCCGUAUUAGCUAGUUGGUAAGGUAACGGCUUACCAAGGCAACGAUACGUAGCCGACCUGAGAGGGUGAUCGGCCACACUGGAACUGAGACACGGUCCAGACUCCUACGGGAGGCAGCAGUAGGGAAUCUUCCGCAAUGGGCGAAAGCCUGACGGAGCAACGCCGCGUGAGUGAUGAAGGUCUUCGGAUCGUAAAACUCUGUUAUUAGGGAAGAACAAAUGUGUAAGUAACUGUGCACGUCUUGACGGUACCUAAUCAGAAAGCCACGGCUAACUACGUG